RNAcentral lists this ribosomal RNA (404 nucleotides) under uncultured Lactobacillus sp. RNAcentral's name for it is "bacterial SSU rRNA". It matches the Rfam family "Bacterial small subunit ribosomal RNA", at positions 138 to 524 of the family's 1533-position model. The record is from RNAcentral. Lineage: Bacteria; Bacillati; Bacillota; Bacilli; Lactobacillales; Lactobacillaceae.
CGGGGAUAACACCUGGGAACAGAUGCUAAUACCCGGGAUAACAACAGAUGAUGCCUAUCAACUGUUUAAAAAGAUGGGUCUGCUAUCACUCUUGGAUGGGACCUGCGGUGCAUUAGCUAGUUGGUAGGGUAACGGCCUACCAAGGCGAUGAUGCAUAGCCGAGUUGAGAGACUGAUCGGCCACAUUGGGACUGAGACACGGCCCAAACUCCUACGGGAGGCAGCAGUAGGGAAUCUUCCACAAUGGACGCAAGUACUGAUGGAGCAACGCCGCGUGAGUGAAGAAGGGUUUCGGCUCGUAAAGCUCUGUUGUUGGUGAAGAAGGACAGGGGUAGUAACUAACCUUUGUUUGACGGUAAUCAAUUAGAAAGUCACGGCUAACUACGUGCCAGCAGCCGCGGUAAU